UACGGAGGGUGCGAACGUUAAUCGGAAUUACUGGGCGUAAAGCGCACGUAGGCGGUCCGUUAAGUGGGGUGUGAAAUCCCCGGGCUCAACCCGGGAAUUGCGCUCCAAACUGGCGGGCUAGAGUGUGGUAGAGGGGGGUAGAAUUCCCUGUGUAGCGGUGAAAUGCGUAGAUAUAGGGAGGAAUACCUGUGGCGAAGGCGGCCCCCUGGACCAACACUGACGCUGAGGUGCGAAAGCGUGGGGAGCAAAC
Molecule: ribosomal RNA, 250 nt
Filed under: uncultured bacterium
Lineage: Bacteria
Description: partial 16S ribosomal RNA
Rfam family: Bacterial small subunit ribosomal RNA
Source: RNAcentral